Molecule: transfer RNA, 73 nt
Filed under: Abditibacterium sp.
Lineage: Bacteria; Pseudomonadati; Abditibacteriota; Abditibacteriia; Abditibacteriales; Abditibacteriaceae
Also listed under: 2 other names
Description: tRNA-Pro
Rfam family: tRNA
About the family: Transfer RNA (tRNA) molecules are approximately 80 nucleotides in length. Their secondary structure includes four short double-helical elements and three loops (D, anti-codon, and T loops).
Source: RNAcentral
CGGGAUGUAGCUCAGUUGGUAGAGUGCUGCGUUUGGGACGCAGAUGUCGUCAGUUCGAGUCUGGCCAUCCCGA